AGAAGACGGGCAACUCAGUCUGGUUGAUGACAUAUGCCCUCGUCGUCGGAGCGUGAUUAAUGGUCCCGAUCGGAACGAGACCGUAGAGGAUCGUUCUCCGCCUUCGGGCGGAGGUGGCUUCGAGGGUUUCUGACAGACUCAUCAUCAACUUUUUCUUUUUUUCUGCCACGUUGACUUCCGGACUUCCGACCGGGUAACGUGAUGGCAAUGGCGCGGCUUUUUUUUUCAUUUCACAGGAUGCUCCAUGGCUUUCCUCCGGCGAGGCGUUGUUUGUUUUUCAAAGUGAUUUUUUGGGUAUCACCUUUCAGGUUGGCAUGUGGAUCAGUGGCUGCAAGGAAAGUUGAGGGUAAUAAAAGAACAGGAAAACCUGGAAUGUGUUGGUUUUCAUGCUAUGUGGUGCACUUGUAUAAUUAACAUUCCAACUCAAAGCUUAACUAAAUUGAUAUUAGAUCAAAUGUUGCCACAACAGACACUUCAGUGAAUUGAAAGGUUAGUGGAAUUUUGUCAAGUUUUGUCUGCAUAAUGGUAUGUUUUCUCUCUUUAGACACAUCAUUACCUUUAGGAAUGAAUCUGCUAGUUUUGUUUUUGGCUGAAAAGAUGAUUAAUGAGUGUGCCGAAGAUUAAUUGUUCGAAAGAAGAUGAACUGUGCAUCGGUCAUGCAACGAUGCAUGUGAUACAGAUUUUGGUAGGUUGAUGGGAUAAAAGCUGACAAGAUGAUGCUGCAGCUUGGUGAACUCGAAAGCUUUGGAGAAGUUAAUCUAAUGGAAUCCCGGGGAAUCAUUAUGGACAGGCAUGUCAUUCAUUCUUCUCUUUAUCACUACUUUGCUUGCAGUUUGCGCUAAAGAUUUUUAACAUUACCAGAUCAUUGCAAACGCUCUGCAGUAUUUUGGAAUUCUAAAUGUUCAAGGAGUUUCUAUUUGAGAAGUUUUAAGUAGAGUUUGAAUCAAAUAUUAUGUUUCCCA
Molecule: non-coding RNA, 962 nt
Organism: Phoenix dactylifera (date palm)
Lineage: Eukaryota; Viridiplantae; Streptophyta; Magnoliopsida; Arecales; Arecaceae
Source: RefSeq, a predicted model, not a curated record